UCSCCUGUUUAUCAAAAACAUAGCUAUUAGAUAUAAUUAAUAGUGUYUUYUGCUCAAUGAAUAUUAAAUAGCCGCAGUACCCUGACUGUGCAAAGGUAGCAUAAUCAGUUGGCUUAUAAUUGAAGUCUUGUAUGAAUGAAUAAAUGAGGAGGAACUGUCUCAUCAAUAUUAAAUGAAAUUACUUAGCAAGUGCAAAUUCUUGUAAUAAAAUAAUAGACGAGAAGACCCUAGAAAUUUUGAGUAUAUGUUAAUUGGUUUUUGUUGGGGCAACAAUGUAACAAGAAACUUACAUUAUGGACAAGAAAUUUUUUUUGAAUGAAUAAAUUACUCUAGGGAUAACAGCGUAAUGUUUGAGCGAUUGCGACCUCGAUGCACAGUCAGGGUACUGCGGCUAUUUAAUAUUCA
This 405-nucleotide ribosomal RNA is filed under the name Plectorhagada carcharias. RNAcentral describes it as "partial 16S ribosomal RNA". It matches the Rfam family "Bacterial large subunit ribosomal RNA", at positions 1796 to 2567 of the family's 2925-position model. The record is from RNAcentral. Lineage: Eukaryota; Metazoa; Mollusca; Gastropoda; Stylommatophora; Camaenidae.